RNAcentral lists this long non-coding RNA (792 nucleotides) under Rattus norvegicus (Norway rat). Its description in RNAcentral is "long non-coding RNA NONRATT014794". Lineage: Eukaryota; Metazoa; Chordata; Mammalia; Rodentia; Muridae. The record is from RNAcentral.
GCUGCCUUCUCUGCAGGUUCACCAGCAAUGAGUACCAGGAUGCCCUCAGCAGGACCACCCAGGUCAUCCAGCAACACCAAAAGUCUUUGGUCCCUGGACAGCCCCAGCUCAAUGUGUGUAACCAGGCUGUCAUGAAUUGGGCGCCUCCAGGCUGUGAAAAACUAGGGAAGUGUCUGACACCUCCUGAGUCUGUCCCCGAGAAGUGUUUCUGGGCCCAUUAGCCAAGACCGAGAUCGCCAGACAGCCAGCCCGCCCCCACAGGAGCCCGGAAGGCCUCUGCCUGGGGACGGAUGGAUGGAAGCCACCAGCUGCCCUUGCCCUCCCAUCACUGGAUGGGCGGCCCCUGCAACCAGUAACAAGGCUCCAAGACUGCCCCUCCCGGAGCCCCGACCCUGGAGUCCGUUCUCUGGCACUGUGGCCCUUCUUGCCAACUGGAUACUGAAAAAGAAGAGGCUCUCCUGCCCCGGUGGCCUUGGUCACCAUGCGUGUUCCAGCCCGGUGUCUGAAGCGCUGUCACUUUGCCACCUCACUGUCCCUGCAUACAUUUCAACCUUGUAGACAAAAGUGAGGGUUUCAGCGUGAUGCCAAGGAGCCACCAUCUUCCUGGCCAUCCGUCCUCAGCCCCAGGCGGCCAACCCCCUGAGCCACCCUGCCUCUUUUCCCACUGGUUACAAACAAAAGACAAGGAGCACAUUUUCCAGUCAAGGCGAUGCUGUCACCACCCCAUGGAGAUAGGAAAACGAUAUCCUAAAUUUCUGGCCCUGGCUCAGUGCACUGUGGGGCCACUUCUUU